Molecule: transfer RNA, 85 nt
Filed under: Candidatus Falkowiibacteriota bacterium
Lineage: Bacteria; Candidatus Falkowiibacteriota
Description: Candidatus Falkowbacteria bacterium tRNA-Leu
Rfam family: tRNA
About the family: Transfer RNA (tRNA) molecules are approximately 80 nucleotides in length. Their secondary structure includes four short double-helical elements and three loops (D, anti-codon, and T loops). Further hydrogen bonds mediate the characteristic L-shaped molecular structure. tRNAs have two regions of fundamental functional importance: the anti-codon, which is responsible for specific mRNA codon recognition, and the 3' end, to which the tRNAs corresponding amino acid is attached (by aminoacyl-tRNA synthetases). tRNAs cope with the degeneracy of the genetic code in two manners: having more than one tRNA (with a specific anti-codon) for a particular amino acid; and 'wobble' base-pairing, i.e. permitting non-standard base-pairing at the 3rd anti-codon position.
Source: RNAcentral
GCGGACGUGGCGAAACUGGUAGACGCACUAGCCUUAGGAGCUAGCGGGGCAACCCGUGAGAGUUCGAGUCUCUCCGUCCGCACCA